CGGUGGACUGAGCGGCGGACGGGUGAGUAACGCGUGGGUAACCUGCCUCAUACAGGGGAUAACAGUUGGAAACGGCUGCUAAUACCGCAUAAGCGCACAGUACCGCAUGGUACGGUGUGAAAAACUCCGGUGGUAUGAGAUGGACCCGCGUCUGAUUAGGUAGUUGGUGGGGUAACGGCCUACCUAGUCUUCGAUGGAUAGGGGUUCUGAGAGGAAGGUCCCCCACAUUGGAACUGAGACACGGUCCAA
RNAcentral lists this ribosomal RNA (249 nucleotides) under uncultured bacterium. RNAcentral describes it as "partial 16S ribosomal RNA". It matches the Rfam family "Bacterial small subunit ribosomal RNA", at positions 84 to 334 of the family's 1533-position model. The record is from RNAcentral.